RNAcentral lists this ribosomal RNA (31 nucleotides) under Yarrowia lipolytica. RNAcentral describes it as "partial 18S ribosomal RNA". The record is from RNAcentral. Lineage: Eukaryota; Fungi; Ascomycota; Dipodascomycetes; Dipodascales.
UCCGUAGGUGAACCCGCGGAAGGAUGCAUUA